Molecule: ribosomal RNA, 389 nt
Filed under: uncultured bacterium
Lineage: Bacteria
Description: bacterial SSU rRNA
Rfam family: Bacterial small subunit ribosomal RNA
Source: RNAcentral
GACGAACGCUGGCGGCGUGCUUAACACAUGCAAGUCGAGCGGUAAGGCCCUUUCGGGGGUACGACGAGCGGCGAACGGGUGAGUAACACGUGGGUGACCUGCCCUCAGCUCUGGGAUAAGCCUGGGAAACCGGGGUCUAAUACCGGAUAUGACUCCAUGACGCAUGUUGUGGGGUGGAAAGCCUUGUGCGGCUGAGGAUGGGCCCGCGGCCUAUCAGCUUGUUGGUGGGGUGAGGCCUACCAAGGCGACGACGGGUAGCCGGCCUGAGAGGGCGACCGGCCACACUGGGACUGAGACACGGCCCAGACUCCUACGGGAGGCAGCAGUGGGGAAUCUUGCGCAAUGGGCGAAAGCCUGACGCAGCGACGCCGCGUGAGGGAUGACGGCCU